Non-coding RNA from Gorilla gorilla gorilla (western lowland gorilla), 280 nucleotides. The record is from Rfam. NCBI's taxonomy places the organism in Eukaryota, Metazoa, Chordata, Mammalia, Primates, Hominidae.
ACCUCAGGGUGCGUGCCUGUGGUCCUGGCUACUUGGAGGCUGAGGCAGGAGGAUGGCUUGAGCUCAGGAGCUCUGGGCUGCAGUGCACUGUGCCCAUCAGGUGUCCGUGCUAAAUUCAGCAUCAAGAGGGUGACCUCCCUGGAGCGGGGAACCGCCAGGUUGCCUAAGGAGGGGUGAACCGACCCAGGUCGGAAACAGAGCAGGUCAAAACUCCCGUGCUGAUCCUUUGCACCACCUGCAAAGGAAUAAUUUCUGGGCCAACAAUAAAUACCAGAUACAU